This 449-nucleotide ribosomal RNA is filed under the name uncultured bacterium. RNAcentral describes it as "bacterial SSU rRNA". It matches the Rfam family "Bacterial small subunit ribosomal RNA", at positions 329 to 792 of the family's 1533-position model. The record is from RNAcentral.
UUCCAGACUCCUACGGGAGGCAGCAGUGGGGAAUAUUGGGCAAUGGGCGCAAGCCUGACCCAGCAACGCCGCGUGAAGGAAGAAGGCUUUCGGGUUGUAAACUUCUUUUCUCAGGGACGAAGCAAGUGACGGUACCUGAGGAAUAAGCCACGGCUAACUACGUGCCAGCAGCCGCGGUAAUACGUAGGGAGCAAGCGUUGUCCGGAAUUACUGGGCGUAAAGGGCGCGUAGGUGGGCGCUUAAGUCAGGUGUGAAAACUCCGGGCUCAACCUGGAGACUGCACUUGAAACUGGGUGUCUUGAGGGCAGGAGAGGAAAGUGGAAUUCCGUGUGUAGCGGUGAAAUGCGUAGAUAUACGGAGGAACACCAGUGGCGAAGGCGGAUUGCUGGACAGUAACUGACGCUGAGGCGCGAAAGCGUGGGGAGCAAACAGGAUUAGAUACCCCAGUA